This 467-nucleotide ribosomal RNA is filed under the name uncultured bacterium. Its description in RNAcentral is "partial 16S ribosomal RNA". It matches the Rfam family "Bacterial small subunit ribosomal RNA", at positions 28 to 507 of the family's 1533-position model. The record is from RNAcentral.
GACGAACGCUGGCGGCGUGCUUAACACAUGCAAGUCGAACGGAAAGGCCUAGCUUGCUGGGUACUCGAGUGGCGAACGGGUGAGUAACACGUGGGUGAUCUGCCCCUGACUUUGGGAUAAGCCUGGGAAACUGGGUCUAAUACCGGAUAUUCAUUUUUCCUCGCAUGGGGAUUUGUGGAAAGCUUUUGCGGUUGGGGAUGGGCCCGCGGCCUAUCAGCUUGUUGGUGGGGGAAUGGCCUACCAAGGCGACGACGGGUAGCCGACCUGAGAGGGUGAUCGGCCACACUGGGACUGAGACACGGCCCAGACUCCUACGGGAGGCAGCAGUGGGGAAUAUUGCACAAUGGGCGCAAGCCUGAUGCAGCGACGCCGCGUGAGGGAUGACGGCCUUCGGGUUGUAAACCUCUUUCAGCUCCGACGAAGCGCAAGUGACGGUAGUGGCAGAAGAAGCACCGGCCAACUACGUG